CAGCACCUCAAGUGGUCAGGAUGAUUAUUGGGCCUAAAGCAUCCGUAGCCGGCUCUGUAAGUUUUCGGUUAAAUCUGUACGCUCAACGUACAGGCUGCCGGGAAUACUGCAGCGCUAGGGAGUGGGAGAGGUAGACGGUACUCGGUAGGAAGGGGUAAAAUCCUUUGAUCUAUUGAUGACCACCUGUGGCGAAGGCGGUCUACCAGAACACGUCCGACGGUGAGGGAUGAAAGCUGGGGGAGCAAACCGGAUUAGAUACCCCCGUAGUCC
This 270-nucleotide ribosomal RNA is filed under the name uncultured archaeon. Its description in RNAcentral is "partial 16S ribosomal RNA". It matches the Rfam family "Archaeal small subunit ribosomal RNA", at positions 477 to 747 of the family's 1478-position model. The record is from RNAcentral.